Molecule: long non-coding RNA, 330 nt
Filed under: Homo sapiens (human)
Lineage: Eukaryota; Metazoa; Chordata; Mammalia; Primates; Hominidae
Description: long non-coding RNA NONHSAT004955.2
Source: RNAcentral
CCCAUCCCCAAAGGCACUGCAAAUACCUUAUCCCCAGUAUUUCCAGUAUUGGUAGUGUUAUUGUAACCCUUUGGGCUCAAUCCAUGAUCGUUGUAAUGGCUCAGGAUUUUGUGAGUGUAAGACUGGAACAACAGGGCCUAAGUGUGAUGAGUGUCUGCCGGGAAAUUCCUGGCACUACGGCUGUCAACGAAUGUCUGCGACAACGAGCUCCUGCACUGCCAGAACGGAGGGACGUGCCACAACAACGUGCGCUGCCUGUGCCCGGCCGCAUACACGGGCAUCCUCUGCGAGAAGCUGCGGUGCGAGGAGGCUGGCAGCUGCGGCUCCGAC